RNAcentral lists this long non-coding RNA (363 nucleotides) under Bos taurus (domestic cattle). RNAcentral's name for it is "long non-coding RNA NONBTAT006601". Lineage: Eukaryota; Metazoa; Chordata; Mammalia; Artiodactyla; Bovidae. The record is from RNAcentral.
GAGUCUGUGACAUAUAUAGUCAGUGACACAUGUGGACGUUCGCUGGUAGCUGCGUCUGCUGCAUUUCACAGAAGGGGACUGAGUCUGAGAUUUUCUUUUUAAGUUUAUACUUUAUAUUACUGGUCAUUUUAAGUAUCUGUGAAUAGGUGCAGUGCACUUCAAAUGUAACCAAUAUUAAUAAAAAAUUUGAACAUAACUGAAACAGAAAACAUUCUAUGAAUGGUUUUUUAACCUUUUGAAAAUUAAGUCCAUGUAUAAGAAACACAACCAUAAAAUUCAGCAUUUAGAAUGUGUUCUUCUAUCUACUAAACUUAGAUUAGCCAUUUAAAGCACAUUCAUUUAGAAAACCAUGGUCGGGGACAU